RNAcentral lists this transfer RNA (55 nucleotides) under Lactobacillus crispatus 214-1. RNAcentral's name for it is "tRNA-Ser". It matches the Rfam family "tRNA", at positions 16 to 63 of the family's 71-position model. Rfam says of the family: Transfer RNA (tRNA) molecules are approximately 80 nucleotides in length. Their secondary structure includes four short double-helical elements and three loops (D, anti-codon, and T loops). The record is from RNAcentral. Lineage: Bacteria; Bacillati; Bacillota; Bacilli; Lactobacillales; Lactobacillaceae.
UUGGUAGAGCGCUUGACUGUUAAUCAAGAUGUCGUCAGUUCGAGUCUGACAGCCG